CAUCCUCGUGCAUCAGCAUUGCUAUUGGCCUUCGCAUCAGAUAAGCGUCCCUAAAAUGAGGAACGUGGAGAAGGGGAAAGUACUUGGAUAAUAAUACUCUUUGUGCAAACUUUUGUGAAGCGGAGAGGUAGGAUACAUGCUGACUGGGAUGGAGAUUGCUUCAGUAUUCCCUAUUGUGCAGCAUUUCGGCUUUAAAACGCAGACACUUUUCUGAAAAAUGUGGCCACUUGUUGAGUCUCUGAAGAACAGCUCAAACAACAUAAACAGAAAGCAACUGUUUACAGAUCAGCUAAGCAUCUGGAUGCUCCUAAUAUGAGGAACCUGGAGAAGGGGAAAGUACUAGUAUAAUAACACUGUGUGCAAACUUCAGUGCAUUGGAGAGGCAGA
Molecule: long non-coding RNA, 387 nt
Organism: Labeo rohita (rohu)
Lineage: Eukaryota; Metazoa; Chordata; Actinopteri; Cypriniformes; Cyprinidae
Exons: 3
Source: RefSeq, a predicted model, not a curated record